AUUGAACGCUGGCGGCGUGCUUAACACAUGCAAGUCGAGCGGUAACAGGCGUAGCAAUACGUGCUGACGAGCGGCGAACGGGUGCGUAAUACAUGGGAAUCUGCCCUUUGGUGGGGAAUAACCCGGCGAAAGCCGGGCGAAUGCCGCAUAAGAUCUUCGGAUGAAAGCGGGGGAUCGUAAGACCUCGCGCCGAUGGAUGAGCCCAUGUCGGAUUAGCUAGUUGGUGAGGUAACGGCUCACCAAGGCGACGAUCCGUAGCUGGUCUGAGAGGACGGCCAGCCACACUGGGACUGAGACACGGCCCAGACUCCUACGGGAGGCAGCAGUGGGGAAUAUUGGACAAUGGGGGAAACCCUGAUCCAGCGACGCCGCGUGUGUGAAGAAGGCCUGCGGGUUGUAAAGCACUUUCGAUGGGAACGAAAUGUGCCGGGCUAAUACCCCGGCAAGCUGACGUUACUCAAUGAAGAAGCACCGGCUAACUCUGUGCCAGCAGCCGCUGUAA
Molecule: ribosomal RNA, 502 nt
Filed under: uncultured bacterium
Lineage: Bacteria
Description: partial 16S ribosomal RNA
Rfam family: Bacterial small subunit ribosomal RNA
Source: RNAcentral